This 435-nucleotide ribosomal RNA is filed under the name Triticum aestivum (bread wheat). RNAcentral describes it as "partial small subunit ribosomal RNA". The record is from RNAcentral. Lineage: Eukaryota; Viridiplantae; Streptophyta; Magnoliopsida; Poales; Poaceae.
CAGCUCCUACGUGAGUUGGCACCGGGAAAUUUCCAGUGGAACCUUGUUAGGCUGGAGAACCAGAUAUACAAGGUAGAAUUUCCAACUAAGGAGGAUCAACUUCGUAUUCUUAAGUUUGGCAUGUGCAGGGUUCCUAGCACUAAUAUUAUUCUCGAGUUUGACGAGUGGAAACAAAACGAACCACAGGGAGUACCUUUGGAAAAGGCUUGGGUCCGCUUCUCGGGUGCGCCAUCUAAGUCGUUAAAUCAUUUUCUCGUCACUUGGAGUUUGGUGUCUCUGAUUGGUAAGACGGAGAAGGUUGAUAUGCCCUUCACGCGUGCUAAUGGUGUGGCAAGGUUGAUGGUCGGUGUCAUCAGUAUUGACUUGUUACCCGACACGGUUCCAUGGACGCAUGACGGAAUUACAUAUAGUCUAGAACUUGAGAUUGAGGACACA